GAAGAAUGGCAGUGAAGUUUGUCAGAGUGGUGCUUUCAGAGCCCACCUAACAGUGUUUGCUUUGUGCUGGAGGCUGUUGUGCAUUUGCACUGCAGGGAAUGAAUGUCCCUUCCCAAUUCAGCCCAGCAGAUCCCAAAGGCUUUUCCAGGAGUAUUUAUCCUUCACUUCCCUUUGUGAUAAUCUCCACCCUGCCAUGAGCCAUUCCUUGAUCUCUCCUGGAGAAAACCCCACUGCAGAGGCAGUUUGCAAAGGAGCCCCGAGCUGUGUUUGGAGCAGGGAGUGCUGAGAGCUGCGUCUGCCUGUGCUGGCCCAGCCUGGCAACAUCCACAGGGAACAGCCUGGGCAGGUGGGAUUGAUGGAGCAAAAUCCCUGCAGGGAAGAGGCUUUCUCCUGUGAACUUUGGCAAUCAGCUCAUUUCCCCCAGGAAGCAUCACUGACAGCAGCAUGAAUGACAAGACCUGUGCCCACUGCUCAGGAUUCACCAGCCAAGAUCAAGAGCAAAGAUGCUGGAAUUGCCUCUGUGGAUGUGCACUGAGCUCUCACUGCAGGGGACUGCCAGGCCUUAAUCUCUAUGUCCCUGGGGCCCUUGGCAGAGCUCCCUGGGAUUCAGCAGUGCCACCCCUGAGCUGGGCUCAGCUGAUGUUCUCCAGCAGGAGGAGGCGCUGGCCGGACGCGCUCCCUGUGCUGGGGCAGCCCCUGUGCCACGGGAGGACAUCUCUGCCUGCAGGAGCUGCUGAGCUCAUUCCAGAGCCUCGGGAGGGGCCUCUGGGAGUUCCUUUCCCUCAGGAAAGGGCUGCACAUCCCUGUCUUCAGGGCACCUGCACUGGGACCAACCUGGGAAAGCUUCCCAGCAGUUCUGCAGCUCCAGCUGGCUCCCUGAGAAUCUCCAACCUUAUUCCAGACGAAUUUCUCUGACUCUGACCUUUCAUUUCAAGGCAUCUCCGAGGGCAUUGCUUGGGAUUCAGUUUCUGGGAGGGAAAUUCCCUUGGCUUUAGCCCUGCUGCUGGAGGAUGUCCCCAGGCUGGAAGGGAAGGGAUGGGGCUGGCUGGG
Prinia subflava (tawny-flanked prinia) is the source of this 1050-nucleotide long non-coding RNA. RefSeq lists it as uncharacterized. The record is from RefSeq and is a predicted model, not a curated record. The transcript has 3 exons. Lineage: Eukaryota; Metazoa; Chordata; Aves; Passeriformes; Cisticolidae.